This 557-nucleotide unclassified non-coding RNA is filed under the name Hevea brasiliensis (rubber tree). The record is from RNAcentral. Lineage: Eukaryota; Viridiplantae; Streptophyta; Magnoliopsida; Malpighiales; Euphorbiaceae.
GCAGCAACAAAUAUCAAUGAGCCAAUCAAGAACGCCUGAUUACAUGUUUGCCAAAUUUAAAUAGGCAUAACACUAUUAGAGCUUCUUGAGCACAGCUUUCAAAUGUGGUGUAAGAUUAUUAAGAUGGGUAGCCAUUUGAACCACAUAAGACAAUUCUCCAUUCGCAAAUUCAAACACACGACUUAUCUCUUUUACCUUAGAAGCAUUGCCCACCAGUUGACUGUGAAGCUUGACAGUUUUCUCUUGCGCAUUAUAGCUUCCUUUCUGAACUUCAACAAGACCAGUACUCUGAGAUAUCACAAGUUCGAUAGAGCCAUCAAGCUUGGGCCGCCAGUAGCCGCUUUCUGCAUGCAUAGGCUCUCCAGAGCUGAGCUUCCAUGUCUUUUGAGUAUAAGAUAUCACAGGCUUGCCAGAAAUGGCAGAGAAAUGGAGCUCUUCGCCAUAAGAGAAAGAAGCGAUGGUUGGAUAGCCACCUUCGCCUUGGCCCCUCCAUGUCCCCAGCAGGUAUGACAGCGGUGCUAUUGCCGGGUGCACCGCAGCUGCUUCCGGCGGCGUAU